AGUGAUAGCUGGUUUCUCAAGAAAAGAAUCUUAGUUCACCCUAAAGCCCACAUAAUAAUAUAAAUAACAACACAACUUUAGAGCAAUCCAAACAAGGGACAGCCUGUUUGAAAAAGGAUACAACCUUCACUCGCGGGUAAUGAUACUCACUAUAACACCAAGUAGACCUAAAACCAGCCAUCUUAGUAAAAUGCGUUAAAGCUUUAUCUUAUACCACUCUUUCUCUUUUCCCACCCCCGAAUCACUAUUGAGAACUUCUAUACCGUAUAGAAACUUUUAUGUUAAAACUAGUAACAAGAACCAAUUCUCUUAAAUACACGUGUAUGUUAGGGCGAACUCACCACUAACACUUAUCUGCCAUGAAAAACAAUAGCAACUCCCUAAGAAAACCCUAUUAAUUAUUUUGUUAACCCUACAAAGAGUACUUCAAGAAAGAUAAAAAUGGAAAGAAGGAACUCGGCAAAUGGGGGAUCCCGCCUGUUUACUAAAAACACCGCCUCUUGCUACC
This 508-nucleotide ribosomal RNA is filed under the name Brachycephalus clarissae. RNAcentral describes it as "partial 16S ribosomal RNA". Lineage: Eukaryota; Metazoa; Chordata; Amphibia; Anura; Brachycephalidae. The record is from RNAcentral.